GUUCACUCCCUCCGGAGAGUUACUGCGCACCUACUGAUGAGGCGGAUUCUGCUCCGGAAACGAAAACAGACCAAGUCCCCGGCCAGCUCCGGAGGCCAGAAGUUCAAACUCAAAGUGUCGGCAGGGCCAUGACCCCUCCAGGGGCCUGUCUCCCUCCAGCUUCUGGUGCUGCGAGAAAUCCUUGGGACACGCGGCCUGCGUCCCCUCUUGUGCAAACUCCCGUCCCUGGACUCAGGGCCCGUCCAGUCAAUCCAAGAUGCUCGAGUUCCUCACGUGUGCAGAGACCUCCCUUCCAGAUACGCCAGGAUGAGCGUCGGUGCUGAGUCCUGCCGUGGUCUCCCCUCCCCGCUGGACGGGAGCGCUCAGGAUACGGGGGGCCUGCGUGAUACGCCCUCCAUCCUGAUACGCCCAGAGGCCUCUGCGCAGCAAGGACCACCUCGUGCGGGCACUUUGAUCCCAAGAGAGGACGGAGGAGCCCCAUCCAGCAGCACAGGAAGAGGACCCGAGAGAAGUGGCCGUGGGGCGGACCUGAGCACGGGAGACAAGGAGGAGCCAGCGGCCGAGCUGGUGCGGAGGCGGACGCGGCUCCUGGUCCUGCGCACGGAGCCCCCGGGGACAGACCGUCCACGGGCUGGCACCCUCACCCUGGUGCCUGAGAGGCGAAUGCACCCAGACGGGCACAGGUCGGCAGGAAGAGCCACUCUGCCAGGAUGGCAGCCUACAU
Molecule: long non-coding RNA, 724 nt
Organism: Suricata suricatta (meerkat)
Lineage: Eukaryota; Metazoa; Chordata; Mammalia; Carnivora; Herpestidae
Exons: 4
Source: RefSeq, a predicted model, not a curated record